CGGACGGGUGAGUAACGCGUGAGAACCUACCCCUAGGUUCGGGAUAACAGUUGGAAACACUGCUAAUACCGGAUGUGCCGCGAGGUGAAAGAUUUAUGCCUGGGGAUGGGCUUGCGUCAGAUUAGCUAGUUGGUGGGGUAACGGCCUACCAAGGCACGAUCUGUAGCUGGUCUGAGAGGAUGAUCAGCCACACUGGGACUGAGACACGGCCCAGCUCCUACGGGAGGCAGCAGUGGGGAAUUUUCCGCAAUGGGCGAAAGCCUGACGGAGCAAACCGCGUGAGGGACGAAGGUCUGUGGAUUGUAAACCUCUUUUCUCUGGGACGAUGUGACGGUACCAGAGGAAUAAGCAUCGACUAACUCCGUCCAGCAGCCGCGGUAAGACGGAGGAUGCAAGCGUUAUCCGGAAUUAUUGGGCGUAAAGCUAUGUAGGCGGCUUGCCAAGUCCUUUGUCAAAGCGUGGGGCUUAACCCCAUAACGGCGAGGAAACUGGUAGGCUAGAGUACAGUAGGGGCAGGAGGAAUUCCCGGUGUAGCGGUGAAAGCGUAGAUAUCGGGAAGAACACCAGUGGCGAAGGCGUCCUGCUGGGCUGUAACUGACGUGAGGUACGAGAGCUAGGGGAGCGAAAGGGAUUAGAUACCCCUGUAGU
RNAcentral lists this ribosomal RNA (648 nucleotides) under uncultured cyanobacterium. RNAcentral's name for it is "bacterial SSU rRNA". It matches the Rfam family "Bacterial small subunit ribosomal RNA", at positions 99 to 794 of the family's 1533-position model. Lineage: Bacteria; Bacillati; Cyanobacteriota. The record is from RNAcentral.